This 253-nucleotide ribosomal RNA is filed under the name uncultured bacterium. RNAcentral's name for it is "partial 16S ribosomal RNA". It matches the Rfam family "Bacterial small subunit ribosomal RNA", at positions 524 to 776 of the family's 1533-position model. The record is from RNAcentral.
UACGUAGGUGGCAAGCGUUGUCUGGAUUUAUUGGGUUUAAAGGGUCCGUAGGCGGUUUUGUAAGUCAGUGGUGAAAGCCCAUCGCUCAACGGUGGAACGGCCAUUGAUACUGCAAGACUUGAAUUAUUGGGAAGCAACUAGAAUAUGUAGUGUAGCGGUGAAAUGCUUAGAGAUUACAUGGAAUACCAAUUGCGAAGGCAGGUUGCUACCAAUACAUUGACGCUGAUGGACGAAAGCGUGGGGAGCGAACAGG